This 468-nucleotide ribosomal RNA is filed under the name uncultured bacterium. RNAcentral describes it as "partial 16S ribosomal RNA". It matches the Rfam family "Bacterial small subunit ribosomal RNA", at positions 28 to 507 of the family's 1533-position model. The record is from RNAcentral.
GACGAACGCUGGCGGCGUGCUUAACACAUGCAAGUCGAACGGAAAGGCCCUGCUUUUGUGGGGUGCUCGAGUGGCGAACGGGUGAGUAACACGUGAGUAACCUGCCCUUGACUUUGGGAUAACUUCAUGAAACUGGGGCUAAUACCGGAUAGGAUCUCCUGCUGCAUGGUGGGGGUUGGAAAGUUUCGGCGGUUGGGGAUGUACUCGCGGCUUAUCAGCUUGUUGGUGGGGUAGUGGAUUACCAAGGCUUUGACGGGUAGCCGGCCUGAGAGGAUGACAGGACAAAUUGGGACUGAGCUAAGGCCCAGACUACUACGGGAGGCAGCAGUGGGGAAUAUUGCACAAUGGGCGGAAGCCUGAUGCAGCAAAGCCGCGCGCGGGAUGACGGCAAUCGGGUUGUAAACCGAUUUCGCCUGUGACGAAGCGAGAGUGACGGUAAUGGGUAAAGAAGCCCCGGCUAACUACGUG